RNAcentral lists this long non-coding RNA (2640 nucleotides) under Canis lupus familiaris (dog). RNAcentral describes it as "lncRNA (ENSCAFG00000055035.1)". The record is from RNAcentral. Lineage: Eukaryota; Metazoa; Chordata; Mammalia; Carnivora; Canidae.
UUUUUUUAUUGGUGUUCAAUUUACUAACAUACAGAAUAAUACCCAGUGCCCGUCACCCAUUCACUCCCACCCCCGCCCUCCUCCCCUUCUACCACCCCUAGUUCGUUUCCCAGAGUUAGCAGUCUUUACGUUCUGUCUCCCUUUCUGAUAUUUCCCACACAUUUCUUCUCCCUUCCCUUAUUUUCCCUUUCACUAUUAUUUAUAUUCCCCAAAUGAAUGAGAACAUAUAAUGUUUGUCCUUCUCCGACUGACUUACUUCACUCAGCAUAAUACCCUCCAGUUCCAUCCACGUUGAAGCAAAUGGUGGGUAUUUGUCAUUUCUAAUACUGAGUAAUAUUCCAUUGUAUACAUAAACCACAUCUUCUUUAUCCAUUCAUCUUUCGUUGGACACCGAGGCUCCUUCCACAGUUUGGCUAUAGUGGCCAUUGCUGCUAGAAACAUCGGGGUGCAGGUGUCCCGGCGUUUCAUUGCAUUUGUAUCUUUGGGGUAAAUCCCCAACAGUGCAAUUGCUGGGUCGUAGGGCAGGUAUAUUUUUAACUGUUUGAGGAACCUCCACACAGUUUUCCAGAGUGGCUGCACCAGUUCACAUUCCCACCAACAGUGUAAGAGGGUUCCCUUUUCUCCGCAUCCUCUCCAACAUUUGUUGUUUCCUGCCUUGUUAAUUUUCCCCAUUCUCACUGGUGUGAGGUGGUAUCUCAUUGUAGUUUUGAUUUGUAUUUCCCUGAUGGCAAGUGAUGCAGAGCAUUUUCUCAUAUGCAUGUUGGCCAUGUCUAUGUCUUCCUCUGUGAGAUUUCUGUUCAUGUCUUUUGCCCAUUUCAUGAUUGGAUUGUUUGUUUCUUUGUGUUGAGUUUAAUAAGUUCUUUAUAGAUCUUGGAACUAGCCCUUUAUCUGAUAUGUCAUUUGCAAUAUCUUCUCCCAUUCUGUAGGUUGUCUUUGAGUUUUGUUGACUGUAUCCUUUGCUGUACAAAAGCUUCUUAUCUUGAUGAAGUCCCAAUAGUUCAUUUUUGCUUUUGUUUCUUUUUCCUUUGUGGAUGUAUCUUGCAAGAAGUUACUAUGGCCGAGUUCAAAAAGGGUGUUGCCUGUGUUCUUCUCUAGGAUUUUGAUGGAAUCUUGUCUCACAUUUAGAUCUUUCAUCCAUUUUGAGUUUAUCUUUGUGUAUGGUGAAAGAGAGUGGUCUAGUUUCAUUCUUCUGCAUGUGGAUGUCCAAUUUUCCCAGCACCAUUUAUUGAAGAGACUGUCUUUCUUCCAAUGGAUAGUCUUUCCUCCUUUAUCGAAUAUUAGUUGCCCAUAAAGUUCAGGGUCCACUUCUGGAUUCUCUAUUCUGUUCCACUGAUCUAUGUGUCGUUUUUGUGCCAGUACCAAAACUGUCUUGAGGGACCACAGCUUUGUAGUACAACCUGAAAUCUGGCAUUGUGAUGCCCCCAGAUAGGGUUUUUUCUUUUUUAAAAUUCCCCUGGCUAUUGGGGGGUCUUUUCUGUUUUCCACACAAAUCUUAAAAAUUUGUUCUAACUCUCUGAAGAAAGUCCAUGGUAUUUUGAUAGGGAUUGCAUUAAACGUGUAUAUUGCCCUGGGUAACAUUGACAUUUUCACAAUAUUAAUUCUGCCAAUCCAUGAGCAUGGAAUAUUUUCCAUCUCUUUGUGUCUUCCUCAAUUUCUUUCAGAAGUGUUCUAUAGUUUUGAGGGUUUUUAGAUCCUUUACAUCUUUGGUGAGGUUUAUUCCUAGGUUUUCUUAUUUCUUUUGGGUCAAUUGUAAAUGGGAUUGACUCCUUAUUUUUCUUUCUUCGUCUCAUUGUUAGUGUAUAGAAAUGCCACUGACUUCUGGGGAUUGAUUUUUUAUCCUGCCACGCUACCGAAUUGCUGUAUGAGUUCUAGCAAUUUGGGGUGGAGACUUUUGGGUUUUCUAUGUAGAGUAUAUGUCAUCGGCGAAAAAAGGAGUUUGACUUCUUUUUUGCCAAUUUGAAUGCCUUUAAUGUCUUUUUUUUGUCUGAUUGCUGAGGUAGGACUUCCAGUACUAUGUUGAAUAGCAGUGGUGAAUGGACAUCCCUGUCUUGUUCCUGAUCUUAGGGGAAAGGCUCCAGUGCUUCCCCAUUGAGAAUGAUAUUUGCUGUGGGCUUUUCAUAGAUGGCUUUAAGGGAUGUCGAGGAAUGUUCCCUCUAUCCCUACACUCUGAAGAGUUUUAAUCAGGAAUGGAUGCUGUAUUUUGUCAAUGCUUUCUCUGCAUCCAAUGAGAGGAUCUAUGGUUCUUGGUUUUUCUCUUGCUGAUAUGAUGAAUCACAUUGAUUGUUUUACGGGUGUUGAACCAGCCUUGUGUCCCAGGGAUAAAUCCUACUUGGUCAUGGUGAAUAAUUUUCUUAAUGUACUGUUGGAUCCUAUUGGCCAGUAUCUUGUUGAGAAUUUUUGCAUCCAUGUUCAUCAGGGAUAUUGGUCUGUAAUUCUCCUUUUUGGCGGGGUCUUUGUCUGGUUUGGAAUUAAGGUAGCUGGCUUCAUGAACGAAUUGGAAGUACUCCAUCUCUUUCUAUCUUCCAAACAGCUUUAGGAGAAUAGGUAUGAUUUCUUCUUUAAACGUUUGAUAAAAUUCUCCUGGGAAGCCCAUCUGGCCCUGGACUCUUGUGUCUUGGGAGGUUUUUGAUGACUGCUUCA